ACCUGUGAAAAGAAGAGGGAUGACUCCAGUGGGACAUUCCUGAACCAUGUGCACCUAUUCACCUAGGAGAAGGAAUGGCUGGAGUUGCAUCUAUCUUUCUGUUUAUGAAAUAUGGGCCCAACUCCAGCGACAACAUAAUUUUUAGACCAUUUAGUGGAAUAAUAAAAGUCAAAAGAGGAAAGAGAACUUACAUGGAUUGAACACCCACUGCAUGCUUAGCUCUCUGCUAGGUGCAUUACAGAAAAGAGCUUAUUGAAUUCUUACGCAAACCCUUGAGGAUGAAUGGCCGCUCACCUGGAGUCUUGAUAGCCAGGUGAUGCAGAUUUAGGAGAAGAAGUCCACCUCAGGUCAGGUUUCCCCAAAGGCAGAUCCUGAGAUGAGGAAUCCAGGACCUAUCACUUACUUGGGAGAGGCAGAGUUUCCUUAUGUUGCCCAGGCUGGCCUCAAA
RNAcentral lists this long non-coding RNA (448 nucleotides) under Homo sapiens (human). Its description in RNAcentral is "HSALNT0382107". Lineage: Eukaryota; Metazoa; Chordata; Mammalia; Primates; Hominidae. The record is from RNAcentral.